Molecule: ribosomal RNA, 502 nt
Filed under: uncultured bacterium
Lineage: Bacteria
Description: bacterial SSU rRNA
Rfam family: Bacterial small subunit ribosomal RNA
Source: RNAcentral
UGGGGAAUCUUGCACAAUGGGGGAAACCCUGAUGCAGCGACGCCGCGUGAGCGAUGAAGCCCUUCGGGGCGUAAAGCUCUUUCGACAGGAACGAUAAUGACGGUACCUGGAGAAGAAGCUGCGGCUAACUACGUGCCAGCAGCCGCGGUAAUACGUAGGCAGCAAGCGUUGUUCGGAGUUACUGGGCGUAAAGAGUGCGUAGGCGGUCUGGCAAGUUCGGGUGUGAAAUCUCCCGGCUUAACUGGGAGGGUGCGCCGAAGACUGUUGGGCUGGAGUGUGGGAGAGGCAGGCGGAAUUCCUGGUGUAGCGGUGAAAUGCGUAGAUAUCAGGAGGAACACCGGUGGUGUAGGCGGCUUGCUGGACCAUAACUGACGCUGAGGCACGAAAGCGUGGGGAGCAAACAGGAUUAGAUACCCUGGUAGUCCACGCCCUAAACGAUGCAGACUUGGUGUAGGCCAUUCAGUUGGUCUGUGCCGGAGCUAACGCGUUAAGUCUGCCGCCA